AGUGAACGCUGGCGGUAGGCCUAACACAUGCAAGUCGAACGGCAGCACAGUAAGAGCUUGCUCUUACGGGUGGCGAGUGGCGGACGGGUGAGGAAUACAUCGGAAUCUACUUUUUCGUGGGGGAUAACGUAGGGAAACUUACGCUAAUACCGCAUACGACCUACGGGUGAAAGCAGGGGACCUUCGGACCUUGCGCGAUUGAAUGAGCCGAUGUCGGAUUAGCUAGUUGGCGGGGUAAAGGCCCACCAAGGCGACGAUCCGUAGCUGGUCUGAGAGGAUGAUCAGCCACACUGGAACUGAGACACGGUCCAGACUCCUACGGGAGGCAGCAGUGGGGAAUAUUGGACAAUGGGCGCAAGCCUGAUCCAGCCAUACCGCGUGGGUGAAGAAGGCCUUCGGGUUGUAAAGCCCUUUUGUUGGGAACGAAAAGCAGCAGGUUAAUACCCCGCUGUUCUGACGGUACCCAAAGAAUAAGCACCGGCUAACUUCGUG
This 492-nucleotide ribosomal RNA is filed under the name uncultured bacterium. RNAcentral's name for it is "partial 16S ribosomal RNA". It matches the Rfam family "Bacterial small subunit ribosomal RNA", at positions 29 to 507 of the family's 1533-position model. The record is from RNAcentral.